RNAcentral lists this transfer RNA (68 nucleotides) under Schistosoma mansoni. The record is from RNAcentral. Lineage: Eukaryota; Metazoa; Platyhelminthes; Trematoda; Strigeidida; Schistosomatidae.
UAGAUUCCCACCCAGUGUCUAUUCUACAGGACUUCACUCGGCCACUGAGUCCUGAUAGCCCUCAGUGG